CGUGUUGUGAGAUGUUGGGUUAAGUCCCGCAACGAGCGCAACCCUUGUCCUUAGUUUCCAGCACGUAAGGGUGGGCACUUUAAGGAGACUGCCGGUGACAAACCGGAGGAAGGUGGGGAUGACGUCAAGUCAUCAUGGCCCUUACGGCCAGGGCUACACACGUGUUCCAAUGGUGGGUACAAAGGGUUGCCACCCCGCGAGGUGGAGCAAAUCCCAAAAACCCGAUUUCAGUCCGGAUUGGAGUCUGCAACUCGACUCCAUGAAGUCGGAAUCGCU
RNAcentral lists this ribosomal RNA (276 nucleotides) under uncultured bacterium. RNAcentral describes it as "partial 16S ribosomal RNA". It matches the Rfam family "Bacterial small subunit ribosomal RNA", at positions 1061 to 1336 of the family's 1533-position model. The record is from RNAcentral.